AGUGAACGCUGGCGGUAGGCCUAACACAUGCAAGUCGAACGGCAGCACAGUAAUAGCUUGCUCUUACGGGUGGCGAGUGGCGGACGGGUGGGGUAUACAUCGGAAUCUACUUUUUCGUGGGGGAUAACGUAGGGAAACUUACGCUAAUACCGCAUACGACCUACGGGUGGAAGCAGGGGAUCUUCGGACCUUGCGCGAUCGAAUGAGCCGAUGUCGGAUUAGCUGGUUGGCGGGGUAAAGGCCCACCAAGGCGACGAUCGCUAGCUGGUCUGAGAGGAUGAUGAGCCACACUGGAACUGAGACGCGGUCCAGACUCCUACGGGAGGCAGCAGUGGGGAAUAUUGGACAAUGGGCGCAAGCCUGAUCCAGCCAUAGCGCGUGGGUGAAGAAGGCCUUCGGGUUGUAAAGCCCUUUUGUUGGGAAAGAAAAGCAGCAGGUUAAUACCCCGCUGUUCUGACGGUACCCAAAGAAUAAGCACCGGCUAACUUCGUG
Molecule: ribosomal RNA, 492 nt
Filed under: uncultured bacterium
Lineage: Bacteria
Description: partial 16S ribosomal RNA
Rfam family: Bacterial small subunit ribosomal RNA
Source: RNAcentral